GCCGCGGUAAUUCCAGCUCCGAUAGCGUAUAUUAACGUUGUUGCAGUUAAAAAGCUCGUAGUUGAAGUGAGGGAGUGUGUGUUCAUGAGAGCUAGUCUCGAGUGUUCACAACCUCCCCCCUCCAAUCGGUGUAGUGGGGUAUUCAGUUAUUUCACUACUCCUUUGGUCGUUUACUGUGAGAAAAUUAGAGUGUUCAAAGCGGGCGUUUGUUUGAAUAGAUUAGCAUGGAAUAAUGAUUGAAGGCUUUCGUGUUCGAUUUGAUUGGUUUGUUCAUGGAAGCAAGGUUAAAAGGAACAGUUGGGGGUAUUCAUAUUCACUAGUUAGAGGUGAAAUUCUCGGAUUUAUGGAAGAUGAACAAGUGCGAAAGCA
RNAcentral lists this ribosomal RNA (369 nucleotides) under Blastocystis hominis. RNAcentral describes it as "bacterial SSU rRNA". It matches the Rfam family "Eukaryotic small subunit ribosomal RNA", at positions 573 to 953 of the family's 1831-position model. Lineage: Eukaryota; Bigyra; Opalinata; Blastocystidae. The record is from RNAcentral.